Molecule: ribosomal RNA, 253 nt
Filed under: uncultured bacterium
Lineage: Bacteria
Description: partial 16S ribosomal RNA
Rfam family: Bacterial small subunit ribosomal RNA
Source: RNAcentral
UACGUAGGCAGCAAGCGUUGUUCGGAGUUACUGGGCGUAAAGGGUGCGUAGGCGGCUAUUUAAGUUUGGUGUGAAAUCUCCCGGCUCAACCGGGAGGGUGCGCCGAAUACUGAGUGGCUAGAGUACGGGAGAGGAAAGCGGAAUUCCUGGUGUAGCGGUGAAAUGCGUAGAUAUCAGGAGGAACACCGGUGGUGUAAACGGCUUUCUGGACCGUAACUGACGCUGAGGCACGAAAGCGUGGGUAGCAAACAGG